Molecule: ribosomal RNA, 253 nt
Filed under: uncultured bacterium
Lineage: Bacteria
Description: partial 16S ribosomal RNA
Rfam family: Bacterial small subunit ribosomal RNA
Source: RNAcentral
UACGUAGGGGGCAAGCGUUGUCCGGAUUCAUUGGGCGUAAAGAGCGUGUAGGCGGCCAGGUAGGUCGGUUGUGAAAACUGGAGGCUCAACCUUCAGAGGUCGACCGAAACCAUCUGGCUAGAGUCCGGGAGAGGAGAGUGGAAUUCCUGGUGUAGCGGUGAAAUGCGCAGAUAUCAGGAAGAACACCCGUGGCGAAGGCGGAUCUCUGGGCCUUACCUGACGCUGAGGCGCGAAAGCUAGGGGAGCGAACAGG